Molecule: ribosomal RNA, 531 nt
Filed under: uncultured bacterium
Lineage: Bacteria
Description: bacterial SSU rRNA
Rfam family: Bacterial small subunit ribosomal RNA
Source: RNAcentral
CAUGCAAGUCGAGGGGAAACGACAUCGAAAGCUUGCUUUUGAUGGGCGUCGACCGGCGCACGGGUGAGUAACGCGUAUCCAACCUGCCCACCACUUGGGGAUAACCUUGCGAAAGUAAGACUAAUACCCAAUGAUAUCUCUAGAAGACAUCUGAAAGAGAUUAAAGAUUUACCGGUGAUGGAUGGGGAUGCGUCUGAUUAGCUUGUUGGCGGGGUAACGGCCCACCAAGGCAACGAUCAGUAGGGGUUCUGAGAGGAAGGUCCCCCACAUUGGAACUGAGACACGGUCCAAACUCCUACGGGAGGCAGCAGUGAGGAAUAUUGGUCAAUGGACGAGAGUCUGAACCAGCCAAGUAGCGUGCAGGAUGACGGCCCUAUGGGUUGUAAACUGCUUUUAUAAGGGAAUAAAGUGAGUCUCGUGAGACUUUUUGCAUGUACCUUAUGAAUAAGGACCGGCUAAUUCCGUGCCAGCAGCCGCGGUAAUACGGAAGGUCCGGGCGUUAUCCGGAUUUAUUGGGUUUAAAGGGAGCGU